UGGAUUUGGGUGAGUGUUUUCGGUGAGUGGAUGGGUGGACUUUGGGUUACUUUGCGGGACCGGGAAAGAAUAACCUCAUCUUUUCAUUGAGUCGCCAGGGGAGAGGGACUUGGUUACCUCUGGUGAUGGAUUCCUGUGAUGGGUAUAUGUUUUACAUGCUACGAGUUUCUCCAGGAUCACUGUCAAUACGAAGUAGAUGCUCACUCCUUGCAUUAUCAGCGAUCCUGGAGCCUCUGCAUCAUUCUCAUCAUGUGGAUAUUAUGCUGUGGUAUUUGUUGUUCUUAACUUCUUAUUGCGCCGCUGCAAGGGGCGGAUUG
This 317-nucleotide long non-coding RNA is filed under the name Setaria viridis. RNAcentral's name for it is "long non-coding RNA (SVIR_LNC008163)". Lineage: Eukaryota; Viridiplantae; Streptophyta; Magnoliopsida; Poales; Poaceae. The record is from RNAcentral.